This 1232-nucleotide long non-coding RNA is filed under the name Macaca mulatta (Rhesus monkey). Its description in RNAcentral is "lncRNA (ENSMMUG00000055736.1)". Lineage: Eukaryota; Metazoa; Chordata; Mammalia; Primates; Cercopithecidae. The record is from RNAcentral.
CGCUCCUCUGGCACCAAUGCCCAGAAAUCUCAUACCUUUCAUAUCUUUGUUAAGGAGGAACUGAGGGUUGUGGCCACCAAAUUACUGCUGCCCAUCUUUGUGUUAUUUACGGACUUUGCUUGAUUUGAGUCAAAACAAAUGUGUACUUCUAGAACCUGGCAGCAAAAUGCUAUAUAAUAGAGAAGAGCAGCUGUAUCUGGCCCAUCUCAGGAUAAAAAGCAGCAAGUGUGAAAAGACAUUGUUCCUUUUCUGUGGAACCGGAUCAGUAUUCAAAACAUUAAUUUCCCAAGCUUCUUCCUCAGUCUUGUCUUCAAUAGUCUCAAUGAAAUAGAAGAUAUUUAAAAAGUAAAAGCAACGAGAACAACUUUAAGACAUCUCUGUAGAGAAUUCGGUCCUCUUUAGCAGCCUUAUAUUUCAUCCAUUCCACAAAUCUCAACUCUCCAUACCGUGCUAGGCCAUGUCCUAGGUGCAGAAGCAGAACAAAUAAAGAGGCACUAGCUGAUGUCCUUGAGCCCUUUCAGGGUAGCAAUAUCCUUCGUGAUCUGCUGACCUGCACUGCAAGACGUUCGUUAUUUACUGCUCACAUUAGUUGUGUCCUUGGCUAUGAAUUAACCAUGACUUCGUUUCUUAAGAGCAGUAUGUGUGAAAGGCCUCUGCAUUCUGUUGGCAAGCAUGUUGUUUGCAUAAUGUAUUGAUUGUGCAUUUUUAAGCAACACCUAUGUGGAUCAUUAAUACCAGGUACAGUUACUAAAAUGAAACCCUUGAGAAUAUUUUCCAUUUGUAAUCUGAAUUCUUGCCAAUUUUUGAGACUUUCCUGAAAACAAAUGACUGUGUUUUUAAAAAAUUCGUCUUUUUAAGUUUUUUAUUCACUGAAUUAGUUAGAAGUGAUUCUGCUAAGCUUUCUUAGCCCUAAAUGUAAUAUUUUUUUAGUGAAAUGAAAAACCUGAGAGAAAAACAACUAUAGGAAAUCAUCAUUUGCUGAGGCAGGAUUUUCUUUAUUAAUAAAAUAAUUUAAUUGGUUGUUACUAAAUGUGAUAGUUUUAUGACCAAGUAUAAGAUCUAGUUAGUAAGCAUGAAUUGCAAUUAUAUACAGCAAUAUUUCUUUGCUGGGAUGAUUGGGAAAGUCAUCUCUUUGGGCCUUAGUUUCCUAAUCCAUAAAGUAAGUUUGUUUGCACCCCAUUGAAAAAAAAAAGGGUGGGGGCUGAGUGCAGUGGCUCACGCCUAUAAUCCCA